UACAGAGGGGGCAAGCGUUGUUCGGAAUUACUGGGCGUAAAGGGCGCGUAGGCGGCCUUCUAAGUCGAACGUGAAAUCCCCGGGCUCAACCCGGGAACUGCGUCCGAGACUGGAAGGCUCGAAUCCGGGAGAGGGAUGCGGAAUUCCAGGUGUAGCGGUGAAAUGCGUAGAUAUCUGGAGGAACACCGGUGGCGAAGGCGGCAUCCUGGACCGGCAUUGACGCUGAGGCGCGAAAGCUAGGGGAGCAAACGGG
This 253-nucleotide ribosomal RNA is filed under the name uncultured bacterium. RNAcentral's name for it is "partial 16S ribosomal RNA". It matches the Rfam family "Bacterial small subunit ribosomal RNA", at positions 524 to 776 of the family's 1533-position model. The record is from RNAcentral.